Astatotilapia calliptera (eastern happy) is the source of this 1536-nucleotide long non-coding RNA. Lineage: Eukaryota; Metazoa; Chordata; Actinopteri; Cichliformes; Cichlidae. The record is from Ensembl.
UGUGUGUGUGUGUGUGUGUGUGUGUGUGUGUGUGCAACCAGCUGUUGAGUCACUGGUCUGGCUCGGUCUGUAUAAAUGCUCAGGCUAUGAUCUAACUCCUUCGACAUCAGCAGAGAGUGCUACUCCUGAAAGUCCAGACUCUUCAUUCGUCUUUUAGAUAAAUAUCACUCACAUCUGGUCAUGUCACGGCAAGGAAAAGCAAAUUAUACCAAACCAACACAUUAUAAAGGGGAGCAUCUGAACUGGACUGAUUUGAUAGACAGAGCCCAAGGUACUUAUUUGCAUGAGACAUAUCUCAGCAAAAUCAAGAGCCCUCCAAACCCACAAGAGUUUCAUGUGUCUCAUCUAAAACAUGAAACGCAUAAAUUUAGUAUACUAGGAAUCAAGGAAGAUGAAGGCUUCAAGGAUCCAAAAAAAGGCUUGGAUGAUCCAGACAGACUGCCCCUGGUGUGGUUCAGUCUGGCUGUGCAACUCGAACCAGCUAAGGAGGAGCACCUGCAGCAGGAGAAUGUCCAUAUGGUCUGUGACAGCUCUCCAGCCGUCAGUGAGAAGUCCAGGUAUGGAUCAUACCGCUUCACCUUCUUGGUGAAGGAGGUGCUGGAGAAGUACAAGAAGCAGUUUUGUGGUGGGAAGCCGCCCAUCAUGCGUAUUCUCAGAACCUCCCUGUACAGACAGGAAGUGAUGUAUGCUGUGCUGGUCCACAGCCCAAAAGACAAUGGCUUCACAGAGUAUCCCGAGCUGUCUGACGGCCCAAACGCCAUCUGUACUUACAAAGAUGGAUGCUUCAUCUGGAGAUCACAGACCAUGUUUGAGACAAACAUUACGACUCCAAAAGAAAAGCUGAAGCUGAAGAAAAUGUACUUCUCGCAGUCUGUUUGGGAUCACGUCACCAUUGCCCUGCAUGUUGACGGAAAGCCUCUGAAGUUUGGUUCUGAAUUUCUACGAGAAAGGCUCACGUUCCGUGAAAAAGAUAAAGUGAUUGUUGCACCAAGAUGCUAUGAUACUUGUGAUAAUGCUCAACGUUUGGUUAGAAAACUGUGGGACAACGUUGAACAGCAAGAGGAGGAUUUCCAAGAUUUGUCAGAUAGAUGAAAAAGUCUGAAGACUCCCUGCAGCGAGACAGCAGCUUCAGUUUGAACUCUCUGGGUUCUGCAAACUUUUCUUGUUCCUUAUUUUUUAAGAGAAGAAACAUAAAUUGGUGUUGGUGUGGUGAAAGCAUUUACAGGGUUUAAAUUUAAUGUUUUACAUUGUAAUCUUUAGUCAUGCUGAGGCUGUCUGUAAGGCGAUAAAAGUUGAUUAGAUUAAUAGUAGAUGAAAGGUUUAUUUAAUGAACUUCCUGUCGUCACUAAGUGCACAGUAAAAGACAAAUGAUAAAAACCUUUAUGACAAUAUGAGGAGAAACGUGUGAUCAUGUGUGUUAGUGUAGUCUGUCCUGUCUGGGUGUGAUGUGUUCAUAUACCUGAAUUAAGGAGAAAUUAUUUUGUACACAAAAAAUGGACAAUAAAGUUGAUUUGAAAGUGUCUUGUAUGUUCCUAA